Molecule: ribosomal RNA, 458 nt
Filed under: uncultured bacterium
Lineage: Bacteria
Description: partial 16S ribosomal RNA
Rfam family: Bacterial small subunit ribosomal RNA
Source: RNAcentral
CCUACGGGGGGCAGCAGUGGGGAAUAUUGCACAAUGGGGGAAACCCUGAUGCAGCGACGCCGCGUGAGUGAAGAAGUAAUUCGUUACGUAAAGCUCUAUCAGCAGGGAAGAAACACUGACCUUACGGUCAGCAGACGGUACCUGAGUAAGAAGCCCCGGCUAACUACGUGCCAGCAGCCGCGGUAAUACGUAGGGGGCAAGCGUUAUCCGGAAUGACUGGGCGUAAAGGGUGCGUAGGUGGUUUGACAAGUUAGUAGCGCAACUCCGGAGCUCAACUUCGGAACUACUACUAAGACUGUUGGACUUGAGUGCAGGAGGGGCAAUCGGAAUUCCGAGUGUAGCGGUGGAAUGCGUAGAUAUUAGGAGGAACACCAGUGGCGAAGGCGGAUUGCUAGACUGUAACUGACACUGAGGCACGAAAGCGUGGGGAGCAAACAGGAUUAGAUACCCCGGUAGUC